This 108-nucleotide Y RNA is filed under the name Prolemur simus (greater bamboo lemur). Its description in RNAcentral is "Y RNA (ENSPSMG00000013033.1)". It matches the Rfam family "Y RNA". From Rfam's summary of the family: Y RNAs are components of the Ro ribonucleoprotein particle (Ro RNP), in association with Ro60 and La proteins. Lineage: Eukaryota; Metazoa; Chordata; Mammalia; Primates; Lemuridae. The record is from Rfam by way of RNAcentral.
AGUUGGUUGGAACGCAGUGGUGUUUACAACUAAUUAAAAUUAAUCACAACCAGUUACAGAUUCCUUUGUUCCUUCUCCACUCCCACUGCUUUACCUGACCAGUCUUUA